Molecule: transfer RNA, 83 nt
Filed under: Actinomycetota bacterium
Lineage: Bacteria; Bacillati; Actinomycetota
Description: tRNA-Leu
Rfam family: tRNA
About the family: Transfer RNA (tRNA) molecules are approximately 80 nucleotides in length. Their secondary structure includes four short double-helical elements and three loops (D, anti-codon, and T loops).
Source: RNAcentral
GCCGGGAUGGAGGAACGGAAGACUCGGUGCCCUCAAAAGGCACUGUCCGAAAGGACGUGUGGGUUCGAAUCCCACUCCCGGCA